UCCUGCAGCAUAUGGAGGUUCCCGGGCUAGGGGUCUAAUUGGAGCUGUAGCCGCCUGCCUUUGCCAGAGCCACAGCAUCGUGGGAUCCAUGCCGCGUCUACAUCCUACACCACAGCUCACGGCAACGCCGGAUCCUUAACCCACUGAGUGAGGCCAGGGAUCAAACCCGCAACCUCAUGGUUCCUAGUCGGAUUCGUUAACCACUAUGCCACGACGGGAACUCCAGCAACCAUAUGUAUUGUGACAACUCCUAAAUAUCUCUAGUGUGUGUUUCAGAUAUUAUCUAUCUAUCCAUCUCUCUGUCAAGAAACAGAGAUGUAGUUAACUGUCUAGUUCACAGCUGCACCUGCAUAUCCUAUAGCACUUCACACUUAACAUGCCCUAAAUUAAACUCAUCAUCUAAUAUCCUUAUCCUACCCCCAACAUGUAUUCUUUCUUUAUUUCCGUUUUGACUAAUUACCUCACCAUCCAACCCAGUCCCCAAACCAGAAAACUUUGUCUUCUUAGUGUUCCUGUCCUGCACUGGCUGUCUCCUUUACACUCUCAUUCUUCAAUGCCGAUCUCCCUCUCCACCGCCAGACCAUCGGUCCCUUAAAGGAGGAUUUAGCCUACUCGCUUUUGCAUAUCCAGUCACCAAAAGGGGUGGGAGAGGAGGAAGAUUAUAUCCUUUUGAUAAUCACAUCUUAAAUAUAUCCAUUCAUUCAAAAAAUACUUAUUUAGCACUUUAUAGGAGAAAUAUUCAUGAUUUACUUAAAUUGUCACCUCCUUUGUAAAUACAUAUUCUUCGUCUUAAUGACUGCCGGUAGCAAUCAUUUGUAACAGUCUGUGAAAAUCCAAAAUCAGCGCCUUCCAACCUAAUUGUUACUAACAAACACUACUGUUACCAUUUUACAGUGAGGUUAGGGACACAGCCAGCAAUCAGAAACCAUUCACAGAAACGUUCGCAAAAAGCCUGACUUUACAACUUGCAUUGUGUUGUUUUAACUAGAAAGGAGACCUUGAAAUAUACCUGAUCCUGCAAAGUAAUUCUACCCACAAAAUGGGCAAAAGGAGAGAUUUCCCAUUUUGUUCACCAACCCGUAAUUUGGUAGGAGGGGUUUGAGCUAUUUUAAUUAAUUAUUGCAAAUUAAAUAUUCAACAACUUGAACUGAGCCCUUAAAAGAAUGAAAAAAAAUAUCCAUAGCUCCCCUCUGCUAAAACUGCAGUUGAUGAUAGAAUUCCUACUGUCUAAUCUAUAAAAAUAAAACCCGACUUUUCAGCUAAUUCCGUUUUCUCAAACACAAAAAAACAGUGCCACCCCAGUUAGAUGCUUUAACAUGCACGUUGAUUUCUACUCACAGCUGUGGCAAUUAGAAAGUGUACUUAAUGGAGUGUCAUGUUAAUUGUUUUCAGAGUUAACCAAUUUCUCCAUUUAAUUGUCAAUUGAUUAACCUAUUGAAAUGUUAAGUGACUCAGUUUCCUUCCAGAGUAAACAGCAGCAGCAUAUGGUAACUUCAUCAGCCGAAGGCAGCACUCAUUUGCCUGGAUUCAAUGUACCGGUAUUUUUCUACACCUCCCUGAGCUUUUAAUUAGAUGAGGCAAUGUUACAUGUAUUUGUCUGCUGGAAAGGUUAUCAGUGCCACCGCUGACCUGCAGAGGCAAGGUUGAGUCUAGCAGCUUUAAUAGAAACGGUUUUCAGCUAUGACUGUUGUACUUGAUUGCAUUGUGAUGGUAAUUAACUCAAGACCGCUUUCCUCAGCUGUGUGUGUGUGUGUGUGUGUGUGUGUGUGUGUGUGUAUUUUCCUGUAGCUCUAACUAUGCCAUGAGAUGUUUCCUCUGUCAUAUAUAUGCACUUAUUAAGCACUUAUUGGAUUCUAAUAAGCAUGCAAAUAGUCAAGAGUUUCUUUAGGCUAAUACCACACUACUCAGAUAGCACAGUGCCAUUAAAUGAGUACAAUGUUCACUGCCUGCAGCAUGUUCUGCAGAGAAAAAGCCAAUUCCUGUUGGUAGAAUUUCGCUCCUUUAUUUUCAUGGUGUCUCAUUCCAGCAGAUCUUCACACUCUAAAGUAAAAAUGAUUUUCUGUUUUUCAAUUUAACCAUGUAUGAGGCCACUUAGGGUUGAAGGAGACACAGACUUGGAUUUGGAGGCAUUUUUCCAAUAUUCCCGUUAACGAUGACUGUGUCUCAGAGACCAAAGAAGUGACCAAAUAAGGUCCUGGUGGUGAGCUAUUCAUUCAGUCUCCUCACCUCUUCCACACUGUUUUCUGACUCUGGGUGCGUGCUCCUUGCAUGUGUGUUUUUACUGUACCACACUAUUGUUUAAUUACGAGCCAAUCCACAACGGAGGCAGCAUUAUCAUCCUUGAUAAUGUUGGUAGCAGGCAACUGAGACAAAAUGAUUACAAACCUAUGUUGUGUUCAAUAGUUCUUUAGAGGAUUUCUCUCUUAAUAGUUCUGGCUCAUUCAUGUUUGAUUCAGCACAUUUGUUCUUUCAAAAAGGCAUAGCUUAGAAGAGUUUCAGGGUGGGUUAAUAACUCGACUGAAAAUGGCUGCUCGCAUUGUAAAAGCUUGUUCCUGAGGUUGCUCGGGGCUUUCUUCAGUUUUGCCGCUCUGCAGCUUCGGCCCAGUUGGUAAACAGCUUAAGUCCAGACAUCUUUUCAUUUUCUGAGCAGCGGAUUGAAAUAAAAAUGCAUAUAAGUGGCGACUGACUGGCGCUGGCCUAACAAUAGCCUGUAACAUUAUGCAAGGGUAUUUACAUAGGAAUAAGGCCUUACUGAAGGAGAUGGGGCAAUUAAUGGUGUGCGCCACACAUAUAAGGAAAGUUUGUCCGAUCCUUUCCUCAAUAAAGAUCUUUUGUAAAGUGCUAUGGAAACUCACGGAGGCCCCCAAAGAGAUUAAGGGGAGGACUUUUCUGGAACUUUAAAAAUAUAUAUAUUUUUGAAACUUACAGUUUACGUAUUCACAUGUAGGUAAAUUGAAAUUUUCAAAAAGCCAGAUUAUAUUAAAUACGUGUACAGAAAUGAAAUCUUUGUUUUGUUUUCAUCAUUUUGGGUAGUUUCUCCAAGCCUGUAAAAGAAGGCAGUGCACUUUUUUUUUUUUUUUUCAGUUUUCCUCUCUUCCUUUUAUUUUUUUCUGAUAGAAGAUUGUUCCAAGAUAGUCAAAUUCCUUAGCUGUCAUGUUUCUCUGUGUGUUUGAAAUUGAAGCAUCACAUUUAAAAUAUUGGAAAAGUUUUUGUCUUACUUCUUAUUUCAAGUAAUGUUUAAGCAAAGGGAGGAAAAAUUGCCCAGUGGCCAGGCCUGGGGGAAAAUCCUCAAGAUUUACAGGAGUGUCAGGCGGUUUGGCAGGCACAAUGAAAAUGAACAGCCACGCAACUGGGAGGGACCAGAAAGAAAAUGCAAGGGGUGUGUCGUGGGAGGAUGUGAAAGCCCUAGGUCAAACCUUAUUCUUUUUUAGGAUAUAUGUCAUAAGAGAAUAAAUAUCUUGUCACUCCAGAUAAAAAUUAAAAGGUCAAAUGCUUAAAUUAUUUUUGUCUUGAUACUGUCCCAUCCCAAUAUACUGUCUUUUUUUUUUUUUGGAAGUGGGAAGUCCCCCUCACCCCCACCCCCACCCUUAGCCCACUGACCCAGCAGUAAGAGACAAAUCUGGGGUAGCUCUGUCACAGGUUUUCAUUCUUAUCAGAAGCUCACCAUCUGCUUCUGCCCUUGGCCAGAGAGCAUAACUGUUAUUAUUACUUUGGAUGAGAAUACUUUUAAUAAAGUAUUGUCAGCAUUCUAAAAUAAGAAACAGAAAAUAAGGAAAAAAAAAAAGAAAAGAAACAGAAAAAGAACCCAAGACCUCCUUGCAGGUUUUAGGACCAGCGAAAAAAUUUACUAUCUACUUCAAGCAAAGGACUUUAGUUUCUUUUUCCCAUUUUUCUUUUUAAUGUCUCAUCUCAUUCAAAGGACACUUUCUCAGAAGGUAGAGCUUUGGCAGGGAAUGCUCAAGCUCUGUUUACACUUGCCGGUCAAACUGAUCCUACUUCCAAAGUUGUUUUUAUCCCAUUUCCUCAUUUAUAGGUGAUUCAUGUCCAUAUAGGAUGAGUGAAAUAAAAUCUUAAUGUGAUAACGAAUAAGCUUUGGGUGCCUCUGUGUGUGUGGCAUACAGAGAAAGCGAUUUCAGCUGCAGUCCUGUCAAGCAGGCAGAAAUCAAUGCCUCAUUCAGGACUAUUGAUCAGUACUAAAUUAAUUAGACUCCAAGGCUUAUGGCAGUUGAUAAGACAACUUGUUAAUUUAGUCAAUGAUAGUGUUUUCCCUAAAGCAGCAAAUACCCUCUUCUUUAGAAAAGGCAUUUCUUAUACCUGCUGCCAGUUCUUUUCGUUUUUUCAUCUUGUUUUCUUUUUCUGGGAAGGGAGUCUUUAGGGGUAAGAGGGUGGGGUGGGGGGGAUCAGUAGGCAAAAGAGUGCUGUAAAAAUGUAUAUGCUGAAGAGUCAGCCUGUAAGAGUCAGUGACCCACAGCCAUUUCUGCUCCUAGCCUAAUGUGGUUUUAGGAUGAAAAGAAUGAAGCCAGAUUAUAACCCAGGACCUGGAUUUCCUAUGGAGCUUUGGCCGAGUAAGGCCACUCUAGCCCCACAAGGAUGUUCAUUUGGAAGGGGCUACUUCCUAAACUUGCAUUUAGAAGGGACUGAUAAAGAUUGCUUUUGCUUUUCAUUUAAACCUGCAACAGUGAUGGUCACAGUCAAUAACAAAGCCUUGAGCCCUGUCAGUUAUGCAAACUGUGAAUGGAAUGAAGGUAUCCCAGAAUGCCCUGAACAUGGGGCAGUACUUCCUGCUGGCUUGGAAGGACAAAAGGACAAAGCCCGGGAGUGUAGGGGUCCCACCAACAGCUCUUGGAGGCAACAGCCUGCUAUCAGCAGCACUCCAACCCUCUGAGAAUGCUAAUAAGCUAGUGAAGAGCUCAGCUUUCUUGCCAUAAUUCUAUAGUGUGGUUGAGGACCCCAUAGUGCUCACUAAAUAAAGACAACUAAUUGAGAAUUUUUUGCACAUUUUGCCCAGGGGACUUGUUGUUCAUUCGAUUCUUUGGGGAGAAUGUACCCCUACUGACAAGAGGAACUGAUUGUUUUGGCAGCAGCCUCAUGUGACUCUUCCCUGGGUCUAAGACUGACUUUCGAAGUAUGACAAAAAUGUUUAAUUUUGAUUUUUUUUAAUUAUGUUGCUGGGAAUUAUUUUAGAUCUCAAAGAAUAGGCAUUCCAGCGUUCAUCUAAAAAAAAAAAAAAAAAAAAA
Molecule: long non-coding RNA, 5237 nt
Filed under: Sus scrofa (pig)
Lineage: Eukaryota; Metazoa; Chordata; Mammalia; Artiodactyla; Suidae
Description: lncRNA (ENSSSCG00015046019.1)
Source: RNAcentral